This 449-nucleotide ribosomal RNA is filed under the name uncultured bacterium. Its description in RNAcentral is "partial 16S ribosomal RNA". It matches the Rfam family "Bacterial small subunit ribosomal RNA", at positions 29 to 523 of the family's 1533-position model. The record is from RNAcentral.
AAUGAACGCUGGCGGCAGGCCUAACACAUGCAAGUCGAACGGAUCCUUCGGGAUUAGUGGCGGACGGGUGAGUAACGCGUGGGAACAUACCCUUUGGUACGGAAUAGCCUCGGGAAACUGGGAGUAAUACCGUAUGUGGUCGAGAGACUAAAGAUUUAUCGCCAAAGGAUUGGCCCGCGUUGGAUUAGGUAGUUGGUGGGGUAAUGGCCUACCAAGCCGACGAUCCAUAGCUGGUUUGAGAGGAUGAUCAGCCACACUGGGACUGAGACACGGCCCAGACUCCUACGGGAGGCAGCAGUGGGGAAUCUUAGACAAUGGGGGAAACCCUGAUCUAGCCAUGCCGCGUGAUCGAUGAAGGCCUUAGGGUUGUAAGGAUCUUUCAGGUGGGAAGAUAAUGACUGUACCACCAGAAGAAGCCCCGGCUAACUCCGUGCCAGCCGCCGCUGUAA